GAUGAACGCUGGCGGCGUGCUUAAUACAUGCAAGUCGAGCGAACAGACCAGGAGCUUGCUCCUUUCACGUUAGCGGCGGACGGGUGUGUAACACGUGGAUAACCUACUUAUCAGACUGGGAUCACUUCGGGAAACCGGAGCUAAUACCGGAUAAUAUAUUGCACCGCAUGGUUCAAUAGUGAAAGACGGCUUUGCUGUAACUUAUAGAUGGAUCUGCGCCGCUUUAGCUGGUUGGUACGGUAACGGCUUUUCAGGGCGACGAUGCGUAGGCGACCGGAGAGGGUGGUCGGCCGCCUGGGAACUGAAACAGGCACCAUACGCCUGCGGGAGGGCGCAGUAGCGAAUCGUCCGCAGUAGGGGAAAGCCUUACACAGCAGCGCCGCGUGAGUUGUGAAGAUGUUCGGAUCGUAAAGCUCUGUUAUUAGGUAAAAACAAAUGUGUAAUGAACUAUGCACGUCUUGACGGUACCGAAUCAGAAAGCCACGGCUAACUACGUG
RNAcentral lists this ribosomal RNA (497 nucleotides) under uncultured bacterium. RNAcentral's name for it is "partial 16S ribosomal RNA". It matches the Rfam family "Bacterial small subunit ribosomal RNA", at positions 28 to 507 of the family's 1533-position model. The record is from RNAcentral.